ACACAUGCAGUCGAGGGGUAACAGGGUUUUCGGACUGCUGACGACCGGCGCACGGGUGAGUAACGCGUAUACAAUCUGCCUAUUACUAAGAGAUAGCCCAGAGAAAUUUGGAUUAAUAUUUUAUGGUAUUAUCGAUUGGCAUCGAUUGAUAAUUAAAGGUUACGGUAAUAGAUGAGUAUGCGUCCUAUUAGCUAGAUGGUGAGGUAACGGCUUACCAUGGCGACGAUAGGUAGGGGUCCUGAGAGGGAGAUCCCCCACACUGGUACUGAGACACGGACCAGACUCCUACGGGAGGCAGCAGUGAGGAAUAUUGGACAAUGGGAGCAAUCCUGAUCCAGCCAUGCCGCGUGCAGGAAGACUGCCCUAUGGGUUGUAAACUGCUUUUAUACAGGAAGAAAAAGGUGUACGUGUACACUGUUGACGGUACUGUAAGAAUAAGGAUCGGCUAACUCCGUGCCAGCAGCCGCGGUAAUACGGAGGAUCCAAGCGUUAUCCGGAAUCAUUGGGUUUAAAGGGUCCGUAGGCGGGACAAUAAGUCAGUGGUGAAAGUCUGCAGCUCAACUGUAGAAUUGCCAUUGAUACUGUUGUUCUUGAGUGCUUGUGAAGUGGUUAGAAUGAGUAGUGUAGCGGUGAAAUGCAUAGAUAUUACUCAGAAUACCGAUUGCGAAGGCAGAUCACUAACAAUUCACUGACGCUGAUGGACGAAAGCCUAGGUAGCGAACAGGAUUAGAUACCCUGGUAGUCUACGCCGUAAACGAUGGUUACUAGCUGUUCGGACCAAUUGAGGUCUGAGUGGCUAAGCGAAAGUGAUAAGUAACCCACCUGGGGAGUAUGGUCGCAAGGC
Molecule: ribosomal RNA, 844 nt
Filed under: uncultured Bacteroidota bacterium
Lineage: Bacteria; Pseudomonadati; Bacteroidota
Description: bacterial SSU rRNA
Rfam family: Bacterial small subunit ribosomal RNA
Source: RNAcentral